CCUACGGGAGGCAGCAGUGGGGAAUAUUGGACAAUGGGCGAAAGCCUGAUCCAGCCAUGCCGCGUGUGUGAAGAAGGCCUUCGGGUUGUAAAGCACUUUCAGUGGGGAAGAAAGCCUUGGGGCUAAUACCCUCGAGGAAGGACAUCACCCACAGAAGAAGCACCGGCUAACUCCGUGCCAGCAGCCGCGGUAAUACGGAGGGUGCGAGCGUUAAUCGGAAUUACUGGGCGUAAAGCGCGCGUAGGCGGUCUGAUAAGCCGGUUGUGAAAGCCCCGGGCUCAACCUGGGAACGGCAUCCGGAACUGUCAGGCUAGAGUGCAGGAGAGGAAGGUAGAAUUCCCGGUGUAGCGGUGAAAUGCGUAGAGAUCGGGAGGAAUACCAGUGGCGAAGGCGGCCUUCUGGACUGACACUGACGCUGAGGUGCGAAAGCGUGGGUAGCAAACAAGAUUAGAUACCCCUGUAGUC
Molecule: ribosomal RNA, 465 nt
Filed under: Vreelandella stevensii
Lineage: Bacteria; Pseudomonadati; Pseudomonadota; Gammaproteobacteria; Oceanospirillales; Halomonadaceae
Description: partial 16S ribosomal RNA
Rfam family: Bacterial small subunit ribosomal RNA
Source: RNAcentral